This 453-nucleotide unclassified non-coding RNA is filed under the name uncultured Glomus. RNAcentral's name for it is "SSU rRNA". It matches the Rfam family "Eukaryotic small subunit ribosomal RNA", at positions 569 to 1027 of the family's 1831-position model. The record is from RNAcentral. Lineage: Eukaryota; Fungi; Glomeromycota; Glomeromycetes; Glomerales; Glomeraceae.
AGCAGCCGCGGUAAUUCCAGCUCCAAUAGCGUAUAUUAAAGUUGUUGCAGUUAAAAAGCUCGUAGUUGAAUUUCGGGGUUAGCAGGUCGGUCGUGCCAUCGGUAUGAACUGGUCUCGCUGAUCCCUCCCUCUUGACGAACUGUGAUGCCAUUAAUUUGGUGUCGCAGGGAAUCAGGACUGUUACUUUGAAAAAUUAGAGUGUUUAAAGCAGGCUCACGCUUGAAUACAUUAGCAUGGAAUAAUGAAAUAGGACGUUUGAUCCUAUUUUGUUGGUUUCUAGGAUUGACGUAAUGAUUAAUAGGGAUAGUUGGGGGCAUUAGUAUUCAAUUGUCAGAGGUGAAAUUCUUGGAUUUAUUGAAGACUAACUACUGCGAAAGCAUUUGCCAAGGAUGUUUUCAUUAAUCAAGAACGAAAGUUAGGGGAUCGAAGACGAUCAGAUACCGUCGUAGUCUU